RNAcentral lists this ribosomal RNA (409 nucleotides) under bacterium. RNAcentral's name for it is "partial 16S ribosomal RNA". It matches the Rfam family "Bacterial small subunit ribosomal RNA", at positions 355 to 776 of the family's 1533-position model. The record is from RNAcentral.
UGGGGAAUAUUGCACAAUGGGCGAAAGCCUGAUGCAGCGACGCCGCGUGAGGGAUGACGGCCUUCGGGUUGUAAACCUUUUUCAGUAGGGACGAAGCGCAAGUGACGGUACCUGCAGAAGAAGCACCGGCUAACUACGUGCCAGCAGCCGCGGUAAUACGUAGGGUGCGAGCGUUGUCCGGAAUUACUGGGCGUAAAGAGCUCGUAGGCGGUUUGUCACGUCGUCUGUUAAAUCCUAGGGCUUAACCCUGGACGUGCAGGCGAUACGGGCUGAUUUGAAUACUACAGGGGAGACUGGAAUUUCUGGUGUAACGGUGGAAUGCACAGAUCUCAGGAAGAACACCGAUGGCGAAGGCCGGUCUCUGGGUAGUAACUGACGCUGAGGAGCGAAAGCAUGGGUAGCGAACAGG